CAACUGAUGAAGACAAACAAGGCGACGGUGCUGACGUUUGCUGAGAAAUGCAAGAGUAUACUGUCUGCGAAUUGGAAAGGGCAGCGUAAUACCAUCAAGGCUGAUGCUAAAGGAAGCAAGGAGGACAUUUACACGUCGAAGAUUAAGUACAUAUGCAAAAGAGGGAAGCCGUACAUUUGGAUACCUGAGAAGGAGUUGCAUAAUGUAAACUUAAUUGUUGAUGAACGCGGUUCUUUUUCUGUGGCUAGUCCUAUUCCAGGUCCACUGGCAAGGUUUACUUAGAUCAAUAAAUAAGACACCAGAUCGAGUUGCUUUGACUGGAGAUGUUGUACCUUUAACCGAUGGAAAGGCUCUGUCUGCAACAGAAGUCCUUAAAGAAGGUAUGGUAGCGGAACAGAAUGCAAUCAACUUCCAGUUAUACAGUGUCAGGUGUAUUAAGUUCUUCAGAUCAUAGUCGUACAUCACGAAGUGAAAACCUUAAGGAUCUCUUGGAAGGGGAUGAAAAGUACAGAGUUUAUAAAUUCAACCAAAGGCAAGAACCGUGUACUUUGAAUACAGCCUUUUAUUAUAUAACAUUGUUGAUAUAUUUUAACAUGGAGAUUUCAUCAAAAUCAUUGAUAUUAUCAUUUUAGGGGCUAUAUCAGAACUUAAAUGAGUUUUGUCAAGAGCUGGAGUAAUGUCAGUGUGUCAACUCUCUUACAAACAGUCUAUACUGUUCAGUUCUUGCAUGUACAUUGGUGGAAAUGGAAGCACUCAUGAAAUCAAUGAAGAUAUGGGUAGA
Molecule: long non-coding RNA, 781 nt
Organism: Argentina anserina (silverweed cinquefoil)
Lineage: Eukaryota; Viridiplantae; Streptophyta; Magnoliopsida; Rosales; Rosaceae
Exons: 6
Source: RefSeq, a predicted model, not a curated record